CUACGUGCCAGCAGCCGCGGUAAUACGGAAGGUCCAGGCGUUAUCCGGAUUUAUUGGGUUUAAAGGGAGCGUAGGCCGGAGAUUAAGCGUGUUGUGAAAUGUAGGCGCUCAACGUCUGACUUGCAGCGCGAACUGGUCCACUUGAGUGUGCGCGACGCAGGCGGAAUUCGUGGUGUAGCGGUGAAAUGCUUAGAUAUCACGAGGAACCCCGAUUGCGAAGGCAGCUUGCGGGAGCACCACUGACGCUGAGGCUCGAAGGUGCGGGUAUCGAACAGGAUUAGAUACCCUGGUAGUCCGCACGGUAAACGAUGGAUGCUCGCUGUGUGCUUAUUUUUAGUAUGCGGCUAAGGGAAACCAUUAAGCAUCCCACCUGGGGAGUACGCCGGCAACGGUGAAACUCAAAGGAAUUGACGGGGGCCCGCACAAGCGGAGGAACAUGUGGUUUAAUUCGAUGAUACGCGAGGAACCUUACCCGGGCUUGAACUGCCGGUGC
Molecule: ribosomal RNA, 493 nt
Filed under: uncultured bacterium
Lineage: Bacteria
Description: bacterial SSU rRNA
Rfam family: Bacterial small subunit ribosomal RNA
Source: RNAcentral